RNAcentral lists this ribosomal RNA (406 nucleotides) under uncultured bacterium. RNAcentral's name for it is "partial 16S ribosomal RNA". It matches the Rfam family "Bacterial small subunit ribosomal RNA", at positions 30 to 526 of the family's 1533-position model. The record is from RNAcentral.
AUUGAACGCUGGCGGCAGGCCUAACACAUGCAAGUCGAACGAGCGGCGGACGGGUGCGUAAUGUAUGGGAAACUGCCCGAUGGAGGGGGAUAACUACUGGAAACGGUAGCUAAUACCGCAUACCAUCGGAUGUGCCCAGAUGGGAUUAGCUAGUAGGUGGGGUAAAGGCUCACCUAGGCGACGAUCCCUAGCUGGUCUGAGAGGCGGACCAGCCACACGGGAACUGAGACACGGUCCAGACUCCUACGGGAGGCAGCAGUGGGGAAUAUUGCACAAUGGGCGAAAGCCUGAUGCAGCCAUGCCGCGUGUAUGAAGAAGGCCUUAGGGUUGUAAAGUACUUUCAGCGAGGAGGCGUUACUCGAAGAAGAAGCACCGGCUAACUCCGUGCCAGCAGCCGCGGUAAUAC